AUAGCGUAUAUUAAAGUUGUUGCAGUUAAAAAGCUCGUAGUUGGAUUUCAAGGGUCGCAAGGUGGAUAACACCAUUGCACUCUACCAGUCUUUGACUGUUACUGUGAGAAAAUUAGAGUGUUUCAAGCAGGCUGUUGCAGGAAUACAUUAGCAUGGAAUAACGAAUGUGUCUAGAAUCUUGGUUAAUUCUAGAUUACGAUUAAUAGGGACAGUUGGGGGCAUUAGUAUUUAAUUGUCAGAGGUGAAAUUCUUGGAUUUGUUAAAGACUAACGUAUG
This 276-nucleotide ribosomal RNA is filed under the name uncultured eukaryote. RNAcentral's name for it is "partial 18S ribosomal RNA". It matches the Rfam family "Eukaryotic small subunit ribosomal RNA", at positions 594 to 945 of the family's 1831-position model. The record is from RNAcentral.